UUCAGACCAGUAGCUGCAAGGAACUGAGAGAAAAAUAUGAACAUAGUACUUACUGACUGAAGCUCUCCUUUGACAAAUAGCAGUAAGUCAUCAGCAAAGCUUAAAUGAGUAAUUCCCAAUUUUUUACAACCAGGAUGAUAUAUGAAGCUUUUGGCAUGGCUCAACUCUGCCAAGGAUCUGCUAAGAUAUUCCAUCACAAUAGAAAAC
Molecule: long non-coding RNA, 207 nt
Filed under: Nicotiana benthamiana
Lineage: Eukaryota; Viridiplantae; Streptophyta; Magnoliopsida; Solanales; Solanaceae
Description: long non-coding RNA (NBEN_LNC038328)
Source: RNAcentral